UGUCAAACAGACACUCACAGCAUCCUCAACGAUGGAGGCAGAGUAUAUGGCGUGUUAUGAGGCUACUUGUCAGGCAAUAUGGCUGCGGAACUUCAUUUCAGCAUUGGGUGUUAUGGACUCUAUCUCGAGGCCGCUGAAAUUGUAUUGUGAUAAUUCCGCAGCAGUAGCUUUCUCUAGAAAUGUUAGAAGUACUUCUCGUUCUAAACACAUUGACAUAAAGUAUUAUUUUGUUAAAGAGAAAGUUACAGAGUCUUUUAUUUCCAUUGAAUACACGCCCAGUACUGGCAUGUUAGCAGACCCACUAACGAAAGGCUUACCCAUAUGUGUAUUUUUAGAGCAUGUUGCUCGAAUGGGAUUGUUAGGAGCCUAGCUUGUUGAGCUCAGUGGGAGUUUUAUUAUUAUGUAUCGGACAUGCUAGUAUCUUGUAUGGAAUGCUUAUGAUUAAUGUUUUGAACAUGCAUAAUGAUAUUGUAGUCACUUCUAGUUAUUGUUGACAUAUGUGUGCAUAUAUGUGUUAUUCAUCGAAGUGACAGGUACAAAAGGAGAUGAAUGCGCAUAGUCUCAAUUUUGUUGUACCUCAUGCAUGUUUGGUUUGAUUGUUAAUGAUUGUUAUUGAAUUAAAAUGUCUUUGAGGUCAAUUCAUACAUAAUAUAUGUAUCCCGUCGAUAUGAUAUUAUGUACGUUUUUAAUUGGUUACCUUAUGUGUGGUAGACAAUGUUAUGGUGAUUGAUUAUAUUGUCCAAGUGGGAGAAUGUUAGAAUUAUUUAUUUGUGGACUAAUAUAAUACCAUAAUUACAAUCAUUAAUUAUGUGCCUAAUAUUUCUCAUACAACCAUAAUGGGAUGGUUAACAACUAUUAAUUAUUUAGAGGCACAUGAGAGCACCCAUAUGACUAUAAUUGGCCCAUUGAGUUAUAGUCCACCAUCAAUUAGUCCUUAUUAACCCAAUAAGCUAUAUAACCCUUUAGGGUUAGAUGGGUAUGUGAGAAAAUAUACAUAUAUAUUAAGGAUGAAAAGUGUGUGCUAAGGGAUGAUGGUUAGACAUAAGUGGGUUUGCUCCACAAUUGUCUCUUGAUUACUCUUCACUCUCUAGAAUAUUGUUUUGUGUGUUUUGGACUUGGAUAUUGAUCAAUGGCUCAAUAUGAUGGGAUGAGCAAUAUGGGAGUGUAAAUCGAGCUUAGAGGUGGUGGUUGUAGCUCCGACCACUAGAUUUGGUGUAGAAAUUGUUGAAUCUCAACGUCCAUUAAGGUAAAGGGAAGGGUAAAGAGGACCAACCAUGAGUCAGAGGUUUUCUAGCAGUGCACAUAUCAACCACGGUGCCUCGGUUUUCAGUGGACAAGAUCAAUCCUUUUGAUAAUAUUUUGAAAUGUAAUCUUAUUUUGUAAUAGAAAUUUUGGAACAGGAUGUAAAAGUUUUGAACAAGGAAUCCCCGUACUUAAUAGUGGUUUUGCU
This is a long non-coding RNA of Cannabis sativa, 1450 nucleotides long. RefSeq lists it as uncharacterized. The transcript is spliced from 3 exons. The record is from RefSeq and is a predicted model, not a curated record. NCBI's taxonomy places the organism in Eukaryota, Viridiplantae, Streptophyta, Magnoliopsida, Rosales, Cannabaceae.